RNAcentral lists this ribosomal RNA (1499 nucleotides) under Escherichia coli. RNAcentral describes it as "bacterial SSU rRNA". It matches the Rfam family "Bacterial small subunit ribosomal RNA". The record is from RNAcentral. Lineage: Bacteria; Pseudomonadati; Pseudomonadota; Gammaproteobacteria; Enterobacterales; Enterobacteriaceae.
CAGGCCUAACACAUGCAAGUCGAACGGUAACAGGAAGCAGCUUGCUGCUUUGCUGACGAGUGGCGGACGGGUGAGUAAUGUCUGGGAAACUGCCUGAUGGAGGGGGAUAACUACUGGAAACGGUAGCUAAUACCGCAUAACGUCGCAAGACCAAAGAGGGGGACCUUAGGGCCUCUUGCCAUCGGAUGUGCCCAGAUGGGAUUAGCUAGUAGGUGGGGUAAAGGCUCACCUAGGCGACGAUCCCUAGCUGGUCUGAGAGGAUGACCAGCCACACUGGAACUGAGACACGGUCCAGACUCCUACGGGAGGCAGCAGUGGGGAAUAUUGCACAAUGGGCGCAAGCCUGAUGCAGCCAUGCCGCGUGUAUGAAGAAGGCCUUCGGGUUGUAAAGUACUUUCAGCGGGGAGGAAGGGAGUAAAGUUAAUACCUUUGCUCAUUGACGUUACCCGCAGAAGAAGCACCGGCUAACUCCGUGCCAGCAGCCGCGGUAAUACGGAGGGUGCAAGCGUUAAUCGGAAUUACUGGGCGUAAAGCGCACGCAGGCGGUUUGUUAAGUCAGAUGUGAAAUCCCCGGGCUCAACCUGGGAACUGCAUCUGAUACUGGCAAGCUUGAGUCUCGUAGAGGGGGGUAGAAUUCCAGGUGUAGCGGUGAAAUGCGUAGAGAUCUGGAGGAAUACCGGUGGCGAAGGCGGCCCCCUGGACGAAGACUGACGCUCAGGUGCGAAAGCGUGGGGAGCAAACAGGAUUAGAUACCCUGGUAGUCCACGCCGUAAACGAUGUCGACUUGGAGGUUGUGCCCUUGAGGCGUGGCUUCCGGAGCUAACGCGUUAAGUCGACCGCCUGGGGAGUACGGCCGCAAGGUUAAAACUCAAAUGAAUUGACGGGGGCCCGCACAAGCGGUGGAGCAUGUGGUUUAAUUCGAUGCAACGCGAAGAACCUUACCUGGUCUUGACAUCCACGGAAGUUUUCAGAGAUGAGAAUGUGCCUUCGGGAACCGUGAGACAGGUGCUGCAUGGCUGUCGUCAGCUCGUGUUGUGAAAUGUUGGGUUAAGUCCCGCAACGAGCGCAACCCUUAUCCUUUGUUGCCAGCGGUCCGGCCGGGAACUCAAAGGAGACUGCCAGUGAUAAACUGGAGGAAGGUGGGGAUGACGUCAAGUCAUCAUGGCCCUUACGACCAGGGCUACACACGUGCUACAAUGGCGCAUACAAAGAGAAGCGACCUCGCGAGAGCAAGCGGACCUCAUAAAGUGCGUCGUAGUCCGGAUUGGAGUCUGCAACUCGACUCCAUGAAGUCGGAAUCGCUAGUAAUCGUGGAUCAGAAUGCCACGGUGAAUACGUUCCCGGGCCUUGUACACACCGCCCGUCACACCAUGGGAGUGGGUUGCAAAAGAAGUAGGUAGCUUAACCUUCGGGAGGGCGCUUACCACUUUGUGAUUCAUGACUGGGGUGAAGUCGUAACAAGGUAACCGUAGGGGAACCUGCGGUUGGAUCACCUCCUU